GACGAACGCUGGCGGCGUGCUUAACACAUGCAAGUCGAACGGAAAGGCCCUGCUUUUGUGGGGUGCUCGAGUGGCGAACGGGUGAGUAACACGUGAGUAACCUGCCCUUGACUUUGGGAUAACUUCAGGAAACUGGGGCUAAUACCGGAUAGGAGCUCCUGCUGCAUGGUGGGGGUUGGAAAGUUUCGGCGGUUGGGGAUGGACUCGCGGCUUAUCAGCUUGUUGGUGGGGUAGUGGCUUACCAAGGCUUUGACGGGUAGCCGGCCUGAGAGGGUGACCGGCCACAUUGGGACUGAGAUACGGCCCAGACUCCUACGGGAGGCAGCAGUGGGGAAUAUUGCACAAUGGGCGGAAGCCUGAUGCAGCAACGCCGCGUGCGGGAUGACGGCCUUCGGGUUGUAAACCGCUUCCGCCUGUGACGAAGCGUGAGUGACGGUAAUGGGUAAAGAAGCACCGGCUAACUACGUGCCAGCAGCCGCGGUGAUACGUAGGGUGCGAGCGUUGUCCGGAUUUAUUGGGCGUAAAGGGCUCGUAGGUGGUUGAUCGCGUCGGAAGUGUAAUCUUGGGGCUUAACCCUGAGCGUGCUUUCGAUACGGGUUGACUUGAGGAAGGUAGGGGAGAAUGGAAUUCCUGGUGGAGCGGUGGAAUGCGCAGAUAUCAGGAGGAACACCAGUGGCGAAGGCGGUUCUCUGGGCCUUUCCUGACGCUGAGGAGCGAAAGCGUGGGGAGCGAACAGGCUUAGAUACCCUGGUAGUCCACGCUGUAAACGGUGGGUACUAGGUGUGGGGUCCAUUCCACGGGUUCCGUGCCGUAGCUAACGCUUUAAGUACCCCGCCUGGGGAGUACGGCCGCAAGGCUAAAACUCAAAGGAAUUGACGGGGCCCCGCACAAGCGGCGGAGCAUGCGGAUUAAUUCGAUGCAACGCGUAGAACCUUACCUGGGUUUGACAUGGAUCGGGAGUGCUCAGAGAUGGGUGUGCCUCUUUUGGGGUCGGUUCACAGGUGGUGCAUGGCUGUCGUCAGCUCGUGUCGUGAGAUGUUGGGUUAAGUCCCGCAACGAGCGCAACCCUUGUUCACUGUUGCCAGCACGUUAUGGUGGGGACUCAGUGGAGACCGCCGGGGUCAACUCGGAGGAAGGUGGGGAUGACGUCAAGUCAUCAUGCCCCUUAUGUCCAGGGCUUCACGCAUGCUACAAUGGCUGGUACAGAGAGUGGCGAGCCUGUGAGGGUGAGCGAAUCUCGGAAAGCCGGUCUCAGUUCGGAUUGGGGUCUGCAGCUCGACCUCAUGAAGUCGGAGUCGCUAGUAAUCGCAGAUCAGCAACGCUGCGGUGAAUACGUUCCCGGGGCU
RNAcentral lists this ribosomal RNA (1346 nucleotides) under uncultured bacterium. RNAcentral describes it as "partial 16S ribosomal RNA". It matches the Rfam family "Bacterial small subunit ribosomal RNA", at positions 28 to 1381 of the family's 1533-position model. The record is from RNAcentral.